CUUCCUCAAUUUUGGGACCAGCGCUGCCUCCAGCACCUGAUGGGAUGUCAUCAUCAUCCAUAGGAGCACCUUCACCUCCUGCACCCUGGUACAUCUUUGCAAUGAUGGGGUUGCAGAUGCUCUCCAACUCCUUCAUUUUGUCUUCAAAUUCAUCGGCCUCGGCAAGCUGGUUGCUUUCCAGCCACUGGAUACUGCCCUCAAUGGCUUCCUCUACCUUGGUCUUGUCAUCUGCGGAGAGCUUGGAAGCUAUCUUCUCAUCCUUCACAGUGUUCCUCAUGUUGUAUGCAUAGUUCUCCAAUGCAUUCUUUGCUUCAACCUUCUUCUUGUGUUCUUCAUCCUCUGACUUGUACUUCUCAGCUUCCUGGACCAUCUUCUCAAUUUCCUCCUUGGAGAGUCUACCCUUGUCAUUGGUGAUGGUGAUCUUGUUCUUCUGUCCAGUAGUCUUGUCCUCAGCAGACACAUUUAGGAUACCAUUGGCAUCAAUGUCAAAGCAAACAGUGAUCUGAGGAACACCCCUUGGAGCCGGAGGAAUGCCAGAGAGCUCAAACUUACCCAGUAAGUUGUUGUCCCUGGUCCUGGUUCUCUCACCUUCAUAAACCUGAAUCAACACACCAGGCUGGUUGUCGGAGUAGGUGGAAAAGACCUGCUCUUUCUUGGUAGGGAUAGUUGUGUUUCUUUGAAUCAAGACGGUCAUGACACCUCCAGCUGUUUCCAAACCAAGGGAAAGAGGGGUAACAUCCAAUAGAAGAAGAUCCUGCACCUUCUCAUUGCCUUCACCACUUAAGAUUGCUGCUUGUACAGCAGCCCCAUAAGCCACAGCCUCAUCAGGAUUAAUACUUUUGCAGAGCUCCUUUCCAUUGAAAAAAUCCUGCAACAGCUGCUGAACCUUUGGAAUCCUGGUAGAUCCACCAACAAGAACAACAUCAUGGAUAGUGCUUUUGUCCAUCUUUGCGUCCCUCAAACACUUCUCAACAGGCUCCAUACACUUCCUGAAGAGAUCCAUGUUAAGCUCCUCAAAUCUGGCUCUAGUGAUGGUAGAGUAGAAAUCUAUGCCCUCAAACAAAGAAUCAAUCUCAAUGGUGGUUUGAGCAGUGGAUGAGAGGGUCCUCUUCGCUCUCUCACAAGAUGUUCUCAACCUUCUAAGAGCCCUUGGGUUGCCAGUAAUGUCUUUCUUGUUCUUCCUCUUAAAUUCCUGAACAAAGUGGUUAACCAUUCUGUUGUCAAAGUCUUCACCACCGAGAUGGGUAUCACCAGCAGUAGCCUUGACCUCAAAGAUACCCUCCUCAAUAGUAAGGAGAGACACAUCAAAAGUUCCACCACCAAGAUCAAAAAUCAAGACAUUCUUCUCACCGACGCUGGUUGCUUUUUUGUCUAGACCAUAAGCAAUGGCAGCAGCUGUAGGUUCAUUAAUGAUACGCAACACAUUAAUACCUGCAAUGACACCUGCAUCCUUGGUAGCUUGACGCUGAGAGUCAUUGAAGUAUGCGGGGACUGUAACCACAGCAUUCUUAACUGUUGUACCAAGGAAAGCCUCAGCAAUCUCACGCAUCUUAAUAAGAACCAUUGAAGAGAUCUCCUCAGCUGCAAAUUGCUUGUCCUCACCCUUGUAGGCAACUGUGAUCAUGGGUUUCUCGCCAGGUCCAGGGGUGAUUUUGAAUGGCCAUAGCUUAAUAUCACUCUGCACAGAGGCAUCAGAGAAUCUCCUGCCUAUCAACCUCUUGGCAUCUGUCGAACAACAAAAAUAAUAUAAGUACCAGCCAGUUCUUUAAACUAAAGAAAACGUCAACUGUUGUUGCAGGUUUAAAUUGUCAGAAACUAAAGUACAAGUGAGAAGUUUUAUAAGAUCACAGAUACAGGUAUAACCUCCCACGAAUAUUACAAACAAAAUCAAUAGCAGGCACGGGUAAACAGGUAAAAGAAACCAUUUUAGUUAAUAGUUAAGUUGUCAAAUAUUUAUGAAGAUAUUCUACAAAAGAACAAAAUAAAAAGCUACAUAAUUAUCAUAUGCUUCAGCAAACAAACAAUCAGAUGGGUAAUAGUGAGAGUACAUUUAACCACAGAUAUUUUCAAGAAAUUCCAAUCAAAAUCUUAAAGUAAUUGGACUACAUAACAGAGGCCGGCAAUGAGCACCGUCAACAUAACACAAAAGCAAAAUAGCCCUCUCUGUUGGAUAUAGUUAUAUACAAUACAUAUUGAAGUUUCUACCAAAUACCUAAUCACACAUCAAUAACAUCAAACCAAUAGAAACCGACUGUGAGACUUACUUAAAUACACACACCAGUAGAACUUAAAAUCACAUACUCGUAAAUCUCAAAUCUUUCGAGCAAACUACAACUAACAAAACCAAAUUCAUGCACACAUAACUUCUAACAACAUAACAACACAAAUCCAGGUAGCUUAUAGCUAGUAAGAUACAAGGUCAAACAUAAACAUACAUAACAAGCAUGCUUCACUAGUAAAUCUACUAACUUAAUCAGAUCUAUAAUGCUAGAGUACACAUAAUCAGAUCUACAACAAAUCAUAAGAUAAUAAUUAAACAAUAGAGAAGUCGAGAUCUUACCAAACACGGUGUUAAUAGGAUUCAUAGCGACCUGAUUCUUAGCAGCAUCACCAAUCAAACGCUCGGAAUCAGUGAAAGCGACAUACGACGGCGUCGUUCUGUUACCUUGGUCAUUAGCGAUGAUCUCAACGCGGUCGUGUUGCCACACGCCGACGCAUGAGUAAGUGGUUCCGAGAUCGAUUCCGAUCGCCGGUCCUUCUCCCUUUCCGGCCAUAGUUCAGUUAGUCUUUUUGAAGUGUCGGCGUAGAAAAGGGAGAAUGUGUGGGAGGCGACU
Molecule: long non-coding RNA, 2834 nt
Filed under: Daucus carota (carrot)
Lineage: Eukaryota; Viridiplantae; Streptophyta; Magnoliopsida; Apiales; Apiaceae
Description: long non-coding RNA (DCAR_LNC002917)
Source: RNAcentral